RNAcentral lists this ribosomal RNA (412 nucleotides) under Verrucomicrobiota bacterium. Its description in RNAcentral is "Verrucomicrobia bacterium partial 16S ribosomal RNA". It matches the Rfam family "Bacterial small subunit ribosomal RNA", at positions 355 to 776 of the family's 1533-position model. The record is from RNAcentral. Lineage: Bacteria; Pseudomonadati; Verrucomicrobiota.
UGGGGAAUAUUGCGCAAUGGGGGAAACCCUGACGCAGCGACGCCGCGUGCGGGAUGAAGGCCUUCGGGUUGUAAACCGCUUUUGAUUGGGAGCAAGCCUUUUGGGUGAGUGUACCUUUCGAAUAAGCGCCGGCUAACUACGUGCCAGCAGCCGCGGUAAUACGUAGGGCGCAAGAGUUAUCCGGAAUUCUUGGGCGUAAAGAGCUUGUAGGCGGUUCGUCGCGUCUGGUGUGAAAGCCCAUCGCUUAACGGUGGGUUUGCGCCGGGUACGUGCUGGCUAGAGUGCAGUAGGUGAGACUGGAAUUCCCGGUGUAACGGUGGAAUGUGUAGAUAUCGGGAAGAACACCAAUGGCGAAGGCAGGUCUCUGGGCUGUUACUGACGCUGAGAAGCGAAAGCGUGGGGAGCGAACAGG